UCCGUAGGUGAACCUGCGGAAGGAUCAUUAGUGAUUUUAGCGCAUCUGCUUUGCAGAGCGUGACCUCCACUUUCUAACUCUGUGCACUUAAUGGCGGAAGAGAUGAAAUAUGCUCUUCUGCGGCUCAUUUUAUAACACUAGUUAAAGAAUGUAACGAAAUAUCGAAACAAAAAAAAACUUUCAACAACGGAUCUCUUGGCUCUCGCAUCGAUGAAGAACGCAGCGAAAUGUGAUAAGUAAUGUGAAUUGCAGAAUUCAGUGAAUCAUCGAAUCUUUGAACGCACCUUGCGCUCCCUGGUAUUCCGGGGAGCAUGUCUGUUUGAGUGUCAUGAACUCUUCAACCCACCGGUUUCUUGUAAACUGGCUGGUGUUUGGUUUCUGAGUGUUGCUCGUCCUUGUGACUGAGCUCAUUCGUAAUAUAUGAGCAUCUCUAAAUUCGAAUUCGGAUUGACUCAGUGUAAUAGACUAUUCGCUGGAGGACACWCCUAGUGUGGCCGAAUAAAGAUAAAUUGGUAGAAGCCUUCUAACCCCUUCUAGUCAUUUUAAGAAUUAGACCUNCAGAUCAGAUAAGGACUACCCNGCUGAANCUUAAAGCNWU
Molecule: ribosomal RNA, 598 nt
Filed under: uncultured fungus
Lineage: Eukaryota; Fungi
Description: eukaryotic LSU rRNA
Rfam family: 5.8S ribosomal RNA (bases 176-329)
Source: RNAcentral